This 497-nucleotide ribosomal RNA is filed under the name uncultured bacterium. RNAcentral describes it as "partial 16S ribosomal RNA". It matches the Rfam family "Bacterial small subunit ribosomal RNA", at positions 28 to 507 of the family's 1533-position model. The record is from RNAcentral.
GAUGAACGCUGGCGGCGUGCCUAAUACAUGCAAGUCGAGCGAACAGACGAGUAGCUUGCUCCUCUGACGUUAGCGGCGGACGGGUGAGUAACACGUGGAUAACCUACCUAUAAGACUGUGAUAACUUCGGGAAACCGGAGCUAAUACCGGAUAAUAUAUUGAACCGCAUGGUUCAAUAGUGAAAGACGGUUUUGCUGUCACUUAUAGAUUGAUCCGCGCCGCAUUAGCUAGUUGGUAAGGUAACGGCUUACCAAGGCAACGAUGCGUAGCCGACCUGAGAGGGUGAUCGGCCACACUGGAACUGAGACACGGUCCAGACUCCUACGGGAGGCAGCAGUAGGGAAUCUUCCGAAAUGGGCGAAAGCUUGACGGAGCAACGCCGCGUGAGUGAUGAAGGUCUUCGGAUCGUAAAACUCUGUUAUUAGGGAAGAACAAAUGUGUAAGUAACUAUGCACGUCUUGACGGUACCUAAUCAGAAAGCCACGGCUAACUACGUG